GAUGAACGCUAGCUACAGGCUUAACACAUGCAAGUCGAGGGGUAACGAGAGGAAAGCUUGCUUUCCUUGUCGACGACCGGCGCACGGGUGAGUAACGCGUAUCCAACCUGCCCCCAACUAGGGAAUAACCUUGCGAAAGUAAGACUAAUACCCUAUAAUUUCCUCAGAUGUCAUCUGACGAGGAAUAAAGAUUUAUCGGUUGUGGAUGGGGAUGCGUCUGAUUAGCUUGUUGGCGGGGUAACGGCCCACCAAGGCAACGAUCAGUAGGGGUUCCGAGAGGAAGGUCCCCCACAUUGGGACUGAGACACGGUCCAAACUACUACGGGAGGCAGCAGUGAGGAAUAUUGGUCAAUGGGCGGAAGCCUGAACCAGCCAAGUAGCGUGCAGGAUGACGGCCCUAUGGGUUGUAAACUGCUUUUAUACAGGAAUAAAGUUAGCCACGUGUGGUUAUUUGUAGGUACUGUAUGAAUAAGGACCGGCUAAUUCCGUGCCAGCCGCCGCCGUAA
This 506-nucleotide ribosomal RNA is filed under the name uncultured bacterium. Its description in RNAcentral is "partial 16S ribosomal RNA". It matches the Rfam family "Bacterial small subunit ribosomal RNA", at positions 28 to 523 of the family's 1533-position model. The record is from RNAcentral.